Molecule: long non-coding RNA, 1403 nt
Organism: Aphidius gifuensis
Lineage: Eukaryota; Metazoa; Arthropoda; Insecta; Hymenoptera; Braconidae
Exons: 2
Source: RefSeq, a predicted model, not a curated record
UCAAGAAGACUAGAAAGAAGGAGAGUCAACUCCCUGUAGUGGGGGAUAGGCCAAAUGGGACAAAAUAUGUCCUGUACCUCGAGCUUCUCAAAUUUGCCAAUUUGGCGCUGAUUGUUCUCAGCCGUACUUAUGCGCUAACUAUUUUCAAUAAAUAUUGUUAUAGCGCAAGUUCGUCUAUGCAUGUAUUUGCAUGUAUGAGAUUGAACAUAACCAUAUCUCAAGUGUCAAACGAUUUUAAAGUUAAAAACAAUAUAUAUCAAUAUUACAAUAUUUGUAAACAAUUCUAAGGGAUUUAGUUUGGGAUUCAGUUAAUCUAUUUUUUCAUCGAUUCUAUAAAACUAUAUUAGCUGAUAAAAUUCAUAAUAAAGAUGAAAAAAAAAGUAAAGCGUGUAAAAAAACUUUUUCAAAAACUCCAGAUGAAGGGAGACCUCAUCAAAUUUCCAAGUAAUAUGUGGGUGAGUGUUCAGGGCUUUAAUCAUCGCAUUAUAUAUGCUAAAUAUGAAGCUGAUUUAAGUACUUCUACAAAUGUAAUCAUAUAUCCCAACAUGGAUGUAGAGGUAACAUAUGGUGAAAAAACAUUGGAGUGGAUAUAUUGUGUGACUCCAAAAGUAGUAGAUGAUGUACAAAAUAUCAUUAACUGGAUAGAUACAAUACCACCAUUUGACUGUGCACGCGAUAAUUAAUAUCCAACAUAACAAAUUGAAUUGUACAUACAUGAUCGGAGUCUAUACAAUAGACUCCAGAUUUAAAAAAAAAAUUGAGAAUUGUAACAUUUUAAUUUAAGAGAAAAUAUCUUCAAUACUUUAAAUAUUAUAAACAAGCUUAUUAACGUUUAACGUUAUUAAUUUUGUACUGAAAUACUUUUAAUCAUUGCAAAUUUAUAAUCUGGGUAAAGCUCCGGAUUCAAAACAAAACAUUAACAAAUACUGUUAUAAAAAAAUUGAGAAUUGUAACAUUUUAAUUUAAGAGAAUACAACUCAAAUACUUUAAAAAUUGUAAACAAGCUUAUUAACGUUUAACGUUAUUAAUUUUGUACUGCAAAUACUUUUAAUCAUUGCAAAUUUAUAAUCUGGGUAAAGCUCCGGAUUCAAAACAAAACAUUAACAAAUACUGUUAUAAAAAAAUUGAGAAUUGUAACAUUUUAAUUUAAGAGAAUAUAACUCAAAUACUUUAAAAAUUGUAAACAAGCUUAUUAACGUUUAACGUUAUUAAUUUUGUACUGCAAAUACUUUUAAUCAUUGCAAAUUUAUAAUCUGGGUAAAGCUCCAGAUUCAAAACAAAACAUUAACGAAAAUUGUAAUAUUUAUCAACAAUCUAGGCAAGAGUAAACUGCUAACCGAUAUUUUUAUUUUUAAAAACUGAAAUUGCUGGAAAUAAAAUAAUUAUGAUUAAUUAAAAAAUAA